This 712-nucleotide ribosomal RNA is filed under the name Tylos sp. clade B MM-2013. RNAcentral's name for it is "bacterial SSU rRNA". It matches the Rfam family "Eukaryotic small subunit ribosomal RNA", at positions 460 to 811 of the family's 1831-position model. Lineage: Eukaryota; Metazoa; Arthropoda; Malacostraca; Isopoda; Tylidae. The record is from RNAcentral.
GGAGGUAGUGACGUGAAAUAACGAUGCGGGACUCUUCCGAGGCCUCGCAAUCGGAAUGAGUUAACUUUAAAUCCUUUCGACGAGGAUCGAUUGGAGGGCAAGUCUGGUGCCAGCAGCCGCGGUAAUUCCAGCUCCAAUAGCGUAUAUUAAAGUUGCUGCGGUUAAAAAGCUCGUAGUUCGAUCUCACGAUUCGAAAGGAGGUAGGUGAGCGCCGUCUUGAUAGUAGUAGUACUACUACUACUACUAGGAAACCUCGAAUUGACCUUCUCAUUCGUCUCGUUGUUGUUACGGUAGUACAAGUAGUACGGGGAUGUCGAAAGCUCGAACAAGGUUAUGAAGACGGUACGAGUUGAUUUUCUGACUGACGGCGUUGGCGGAGGCGUUUGUCGUUGCUGCUGCUUCUACUGCGGUGGUACGCUAGUGGCAAACGACAGUCGCCGCCGCUGACGCUUCUACUACUACUUCGUUCAUCGUCGAUCCUUGUUGUGUUGCUUUGGCUCUUCCAGUUAUUUCUUUCCAACUAACAACAACGGACAUAGAAAAAAGAGAGGGAGCGGACGAGGUGUCCCGGCGUAAUAACCAAUCACUCGUCCUUUUCGAUGAAAAACAUUGUCCGGCCGGCCAGCGGCGUAGUAGCCUCCCCGAAAUGGGUGGUAGUUUCGUUGUAUUAUUAUAAUAAUGAUACCUCUUCCACCUUGGACGGUGCUGCUGG